Molecule: unclassified non-coding RNA, 549 nt
Filed under: Hevea brasiliensis (rubber tree)
Lineage: Eukaryota; Viridiplantae; Streptophyta; Magnoliopsida; Malpighiales; Euphorbiaceae
Source: RNAcentral
AUGUUCUCACUGUUUAAAUUUAUUACAAAAUAUUUUAUAAAAAGCUGUCUAAUUUCACUUCCAGAAAUUAGGAGUUUAGAUGAAUUAGGCAGAAAUAUAUCUGUUUCUACUGCCAACAUCUGAUGCAGAAGAUCCCAAAACCUUCAACAAUUAAGUUCCUAAGACUGUUUUAUAAGGCACAAUACAAUGGUAAGCAGCAAAGCUUCAAAGACAACAAGAGAACCACUGCACAGGCAAAUGAUUACAACAAAGUUACUUCAGUGUGUCGCGCCAAGUUUUUUAUUACUGUAUCAGUGACCUGAGUUCUCAUGUACAUUGUUAUCCCCGUCCAAUAAUUGAGUUUGCGGCUGCUCCUCCUUUUUAAUCUCUUCAAUGUCUUUCACGCGCAAGAAGCUUGGCUGAUUGGUUGACGAAAGAAGACGUGCCCACAUCCUGUCAGUUAUAACCACCAUAUUUUGUUUCUCGGUAAUACGAUUGAAUGGAAUAUAAGUCUGGCGACCAUUGACAAGUCCUGAGGUGAAACCUGUGUAUCCUGCCAUUGCUCCAUGA